This 374-nucleotide ribosomal RNA is filed under the name uncultured organism. RNAcentral describes it as "partial 16S ribosomal RNA". It matches the Rfam family "Bacterial small subunit ribosomal RNA", at positions 527 to 896 of the family's 1533-position model. The record is from RNAcentral.
GUAGGUGGCAAGCGUUGUCCGGAAUUAUUGGGCGUAAAGCGCGCGCAGGUGGGUUCUUUAAGUCUGAUGUGAAAGCCCCCGGGCUCAACCGGGGAGGGUCAUUGGAAACUGGGGAACUUGAGUGCAGGAGAGGAAAGUGGAAUUCCACGUGUAGCGGUGAAAUGCGUAGAUAUGUGGAGGAACGCCAGUGGCGAAGGCGACUUUCUGGCCUGUAACUGACACUGAGGCGCGAAAGCGUGGGGAGCAAACAGGAUUAGAUGCCCUGGUAGUCCACGCCGUAAACGAUGAGUGCUAAGUGUUGGGGGGUUUCCGCCCCUCAGUGCUGCAGCUAACGCAUUAAGCACCCCGCCUGGGGAGUACGGCCGCAAAGACUG